GAUGAACGCUGGCGGCGUGCCUAAUACAUGCAAGUCGAGCGAACAGACGAGGAGCUUGCUCCUCUGACGUUAGCGGCGGACGGGUGAGUAACACGUGGAUAACCUACCUAUAAGACUGGGAUAACUUCGGGAAACCGGAGCUAAUACCGGAUAACAUGUUGAACCGCAUGGUUCAACAGUGAAAGACGGUCUUGCUGUCACUUAUAGAUGGAUCCGCGCCGCAUUAGCUAGUUGGUAAGGUAACGGCUUACCAAGGCAACGAUGCGUAGCCGACCUGAGAGGGGGGUGGCCCCACCGGGAACUGAGCACCGGCCCAGACUCCAAGGGGAGGCAGAGAUAGGGAGUCUUCGGAAAGGGGGGAAAGCUUGCGGGAGCAACGCCGGGGGGGUGAAGAAGUUCUUCGGUUCGUAAAACUCUUUUUUUAGGGAAAAAAAAAUGGUUAAGUAACUAGCCCCGGUUUACCGGUACCUAAGAAAAAAGCCCCGGCUACCUGCGG
RNAcentral lists this ribosomal RNA (496 nucleotides) under uncultured bacterium. RNAcentral describes it as "partial 16S ribosomal RNA". It matches the Rfam family "Bacterial small subunit ribosomal RNA", at positions 28 to 506 of the family's 1533-position model. The record is from RNAcentral.